GUGAGAAUCUGGGCUGCCGUGCAGAGAACAGACUACAGGGAAGCAAAGAGAGAAGCUUGGAAGUGAGUUAGAAGAAAUUAGGAUGAAGUUGAGACACAUCAGAUUCUAUUUCUAUUCUGAAGAAUGUGUUUGAAGGAGACAGUGAUCCCGUGCAGGUGUGCUGAGGAGAGGACCACUGAGAGCUCUCCAUUGGAUUUAGCAACAUGGAGGUGAUCAUGACAAGAGCUGUUUAGGUGUGAAGGGCAGCCAUCUGCGGGGCUGCGAGAGAGAGCGCCAGCUUCCAAAACUGAAGCCGGAGAGGCCGACAGGCUCAAGACCACCUCACGCGUCAGCAGCGGUGCUGGGGUUGGUCCCUAAGCUGCAGAAAUCAGAAGGCCAUUCUGAUUUUUUAAAAAUCUGCUUCUAGGGGAUCCCUGGGCGGCUCAGUGGUUUAGCACCUCCCUUUGGCCCAGGGCGUGAUCCUGG
Canis lupus familiaris (dog) is the source of this 465-nucleotide long non-coding RNA. RefSeq lists it as uncharacterized. The transcript is spliced from 4 exons. Lineage: Eukaryota; Metazoa; Chordata; Mammalia; Carnivora; Canidae. The record is from RefSeq and is a predicted model, not a curated record.